RNAcentral lists this ribosomal RNA (424 nucleotides) under uncultured bacterium. RNAcentral describes it as "bacterial SSU rRNA". It matches the Rfam family "Bacterial small subunit ribosomal RNA", at positions 355 to 776 of the family's 1533-position model. The record is from RNAcentral.
UGAGGAAUAUUGGUCAAUGGGCGCAAGCCUGAACCAGCCAUCCCGCGUGCAGGAAGACGGCCCUAUGGGUUGUAAACUGCUUUUCCAGGGGGAGAAUUUUUCUGUCGUGACAGGGAUUGACGGUACCCUGGGAAUAAGCAUCGGCUAACUCCGUGCCAGCAGCCGCGGUAAUACGGAGGAUGCCAGCGUUAUCCGGAUUUAUUGGGUUUAAAGGGUGCGUAGGCGGAUUGAUAAGUCAGUGGUGAAAACCUGCAGCUUAACUGUAGACCUGCCGUUGAUACUGUCAGUCUUGAGUGUGGUCAAGGUAAGCGGAAUGUGUAAUGUAGCGGUGAAAUGCUUAGAUAUUACACAGAACACCGAUUGCGAAGGCAGCUUACUGGGCCAUUACUGACGCUGAUGCACGAAAGCGUGGGGAUCGAACAGG